This 1254-nucleotide long non-coding RNA is filed under the name Equus asinus (donkey). RNAcentral describes it as "lncRNA (ENSEASG00005026282.1)". Lineage: Eukaryota; Metazoa; Chordata; Mammalia; Perissodactyla; Equidae. The record is from RNAcentral.
CCCCGCCCUCAAGAGGAAGGCAUUAUUAUGAACUCAUGGAUUUUAAAUUUGGGGUCAUGGAGGGUUUCCAGCAGUUGUAGUCUUGUCUUUUUUUUUCUGCUUUUCCUCCCCAAAUGCCCCCAGUACAUAGUGGUAUAUUUCAGUUGUGGGUCCUUCUAGUUGUGGCAUGUGGGACACCACCUCAGCAUGGCCUAACGAGCAGUGCCAUGUCUGCACCCAGGAUCUGAACCAGUGAAACCCUGGGCUGCCGAAGCAGAGCGUUCGAACUUAACCACUCGGCCAUGAGGCCAGCCCCUGUAGUCUUUUCUUUUUUGAUGCUCAAAUUUUCCCAUCAGGUCGACUCCUGAAUCCUAAUGCUCAGUAGUCUUUGCUAGUUUCUUUACUUCCUGAUAUAACAAGAUGUUUUCAGCUCAUCUUUUACAUUUUCUGUCCCAGAUGUGGAAUUAGCCAAUCCUCCAAGGAGCCUGUGGGGAUGGUUUUUAGACCACAAUCUGAGCACUUGGGAUGCUCAUUGCUAGUGGGUUGGAGAUUGUUUCUACAAAGUAGAUAUUUUCGUUUUUUCCACAGAAAACACAUUAUGAGUUUAUACUGAUAAUUUUCAUUUAAAUUGGGGAUCACAUAUUUUUACCUAACUUCAUUGACUUUAUUCUAAAUUCUUUUCUUUGAUGUUGAAAAACCCCGAUUUUCUAAUGAUAGCAUUUGCUCUAGCCUACCACGUGUACACCAUUUUCAAAAUAACGAUAUUACUAUUAUCACUAACAACGUGAUUACUGAAAACACUUUAAGAUUGCUUUGCAGUUCUUCUUGUCCUUAGGGUAACGAAUUCAGGAUGUGCACUCAGACGAUUAUGUUUUAGUCCUUUGAAAUAGCUCCUCUCUGGGUGAUUAAGUCACCAACUUCAUACUCACUUGGGUUUAUUUGUGCAGUUUUAAUUUCCAUUUCUCUUAUUAUGAGUGGGGUUGAGCAUCUUUUCACAUAUGUAAAGGACAUUUGAAUUUCUUUCUUUGUAGAUUCUUUCUCUAGAGAGUUAUUGGCCUUUUUGUUCUCUACUUUAGAAACUAUAUAUUAGAGAUACUUGCCCUUUGUCUGUACUACAAGUUGAAAGUGAUUUUUCCCAGUUUGUCAUUUGUCUUUUUGCUUUGUUCAUGAUAUCUUUUGCCAUGUUGAAGAUUUUUUAUGUUUAUAUUUGCCACAUUUUUUAUUGGAUGUUUUCAAAUUUAUAUUAAAUAAGAAUUUGUAUAUUUUAGAUGUUAG